Molecule: unclassified non-coding RNA, 304 nt
Organism: Phascolarctos cinereus (koala)
Lineage: Eukaryota; Metazoa; Chordata; Mammalia; Diprotodontia; Phascolarctidae
Rfam family: Metazoan signal recognition particle RNA
About the family: The signal recognition particle (SRP) is a universally conserved ribonucleoprotein. It is involved in the co-translational targeting of proteins to membranes.
Source: Ensembl
GAGGGCACGGUGGCACACACCUGUAAUCCUUGCUACUAAGGAAUUCUGAGGCUGGUGAAUCAUUUAAGCUCAGGACUUCUGAGCUCCAGUAGGACCAAAAGCCAAUGGGUUAUCCUCACAGGAUCUGGCACCAAUAUGGUAAAAUCCUGGGAGCAAAAUGCUACCAGACUGUCUAAGGAGGGUCAACAUGGCCCAUGAUGGAAACAGAGCAGACAAAAUCUUCUAUUUUUAACAUAGCAGUGGGAUAGGGCCAGUAAAUGGCUGCUAAACUACCAGUGUGGCUGUGAAGGGAGAUCCAGUCUCA